GGAGGGCGCAAGCGUUAAUCGGAAUUACCGGGCGUAAAGCGCGCGUAGGCGGCUAAGUAAGUCGGAUGUGAAAGCCCUGGGCUCAACCUGGGAAUUGCAUUCGAUACUGCUUGACUAGAGUAUGGUAGAGGGAAGUGGAAUUUCCGGUGUAGCGGUGAAAUGCGUAGAUAUCGGAAGGAACACCAGUGGCGAAGGCGACUUCCUGGGCCAAUACUGACGCUGAGGUGCGAAAGCGUGGGGAGCAAACAGGGAUUAGAUACCCUGGUAGUCCACGCCGUAAACGAUGAGAACUAGAUGUUGGGAGGGUUACCUCUCGGUGUCGCAGCUAACGCGUUAAGUUCUCCGCCUGGGGGAGUACGCCGGCAACGGUA
This 371-nucleotide ribosomal RNA is filed under the name uncultured organism. RNAcentral's name for it is "partial 16S ribosomal RNA". It matches the Rfam family "Bacterial small subunit ribosomal RNA", at positions 527 to 896 of the family's 1533-position model. The record is from RNAcentral.